RNAcentral lists this ribosomal RNA (254 nucleotides) under uncultured bacterium. RNAcentral describes it as "partial 16S ribosomal RNA". It matches the Rfam family "Bacterial small subunit ribosomal RNA", at positions 524 to 776 of the family's 1533-position model. The record is from RNAcentral.
UACGUAGGGUGCGAGCGUUGUCCGGAAUUACUGGGCGUAAAGAGUUCGUAGGCGGUGUGUCGCGUCGGCCGUGAAAACCUGCAGCUUAACUGUGGGCUUGCGGUCGAUACGGGCAUCACUGGAGUUCGGCAGGGGAGACUGGAAUUCCUGGUGUAGCGGUGAAAUGCGCAGAUAUCAGGAGGAACACCAGUGGCUAAGGCGGGUCUCUGGGCCGAUACUGACGCUGAGGAGCGAAAGCGUGGGGAGCGAACAGG